GGUUAUUGUGUGGUGGUGUUUACAACUAAUUCAUCACAACUAGUUACAGAUUUCUUUAUUCCUUCUCCACUCCCAAUGACUAGCCUUAA
RNAcentral lists this small RNA (89 nucleotides) under Prolemur simus (greater bamboo lemur). RNAcentral describes it as "Y RNA (ENSPSMG00000021727.1)". Lineage: Eukaryota; Metazoa; Chordata; Mammalia; Primates; Lemuridae. The record is from RNAcentral.